GAUUGGUCUGAAGGUGGUGGGUUAUCUCAACUGAUUGUACAUUGUCAGUUACAGACUGAUCUUGUUCUGUCUUUCCCCCCUUCCCACUACUGCACUUUACUACUCUUAU
RNAcentral lists this Y RNA (109 nucleotides) under Buceros rhinoceros silvestris. It matches the Rfam family "Y RNA". Rfam says of the family: Y RNAs are components of the Ro ribonucleoprotein particle (Ro RNP), in association with Ro60 and La proteins. Lineage: Eukaryota; Metazoa; Chordata; Aves; Bucerotiformes; Bucerotidae. The record is from Rfam by way of RNAcentral.